UUGCGAACGGGUGAGUAACGCGUAGGUAACCUGCCUGGUAGCGGGGGAUAACUAUUGGAAACGAUAGCUAAUACCGCAUAAGAGUAGAUGUUGCAUGACAUUUGCUUAAAAGGUGCAAUUGCACCACUACCAGAUGGACCUGCGUUGUAUUAGCUAGUUGGUGGGGUAACGGCUCACCAAGGCGACGAUACAUAGCCGACCUGAGAGGGUGAUCGGCCACACUGGGACUGAGACACGGCCCAGACUCCUACGGGAGGCAGCAGUAGGGAAUCUUCGGCAAUGGACGGAAGUCUGACCGAGCAACGCCGCGUGAGUGAAGAAGGUUUUCGGAUCGUAAAGCUCUGUUGUAAGAGAAGAACGAGUGUGAGAGUGGAAAGUUCACACUGUGACGGUAUCUUACCAGAAAGGGACGGCUAACUACGUGCCAGCAGCCGCGGUAAUACGUAGGUCCCGAGCGUUGUCCGGAUUUAUUGGGCGUAAAGCGAGCGCAGGCGGUUAGAUAAGUCUGAAGUUAAAGGCUGUGGCUUAACCAUAGUACGCUUUGGAAACUGUUUAACUUGAGUGCAAGAGGGGAGAGUGGAAUUCCAUGUGUAGCGGUGAAAUGCGUAGAUAUAUGGAGGAACACCGGUGGCGAAAGCGGCUCUCUGGCUUGUAAC
RNAcentral lists this ribosomal RNA (656 nucleotides) under uncultured Bacilli bacterium. Its description in RNAcentral is "bacterial SSU rRNA". It matches the Rfam family "Bacterial small subunit ribosomal RNA", at positions 96 to 740 of the family's 1533-position model. The record is from RNAcentral. Lineage: Bacteria; Bacillati; Bacillota; Bacilli.